CCCUUAGAUGUUCUGGGCUGCACGCGCGCUACACUGAUGCACUCAACGAGUUUACGACCUUGCCCGAUAGGGUUGGGUAAUCUUUUUAAAAUGCAUCGUAAUGGGGAUAGAUUAUUGCAAUUAUUAAUCUUCAACGAGGAAUUCCUAGUAAGCGCGAGUCAUCAGCUCGUGCUGAUUACGUCCCUGCCCUUUGUACACACCGCCCGUCGCUCCUACCGAUUGAGUGCUCAGGUGAAUAAUUCGGACUGCAGCAAUGUUUGGAUCCCGAACGUUGCAGCGGAAAGUUUAGUGAACCUUAUCACUUAGAGGAAGGAGAAGUCGUAACA
Molecule: ribosomal RNA, 326 nt
Filed under: uncultured eukaryote
Lineage: Eukaryota
Description: partial 18S ribosomal RNA
Rfam family: Eukaryotic small subunit ribosomal RNA
Source: RNAcentral